AUCGCUUCUCGGCCUCUCCGGCUAAGAUCAAAGUGUAGUGCCUGUUCUUAUCAGCUUGAUAUCUGAUAGACCCUCCACAGGGGGGUCCAGAGUGUAAGCCUGAUUUUUGAGACUUUGCGGAGGUAGGAGCUCGCUCCACCUCUGCUGCGGGUUAGCCCGGCAUUGCAGUGCCGCCGGGAUUAGCCCUGCGUAC
Small nuclear RNA from Frieseomelitta varia, 193 nucleotides. RefSeq annotates it as U2 spliceosomal RNA. The transcript has a single exon. Lineage: Eukaryota; Metazoa; Arthropoda; Insecta; Hymenoptera; Apidae. The record is from RefSeq and is a predicted model, not a curated record.